RNAcentral lists this signal recognition particle RNA (95 nucleotides) under Sphingomonadales bacterium. RNAcentral describes it as "signal recognition particle sRNA small type". It matches the Rfam family "Bacterial small signal recognition particle RNA". Rfam says of the family: The signal recognition particle (SRP) is a universally conserved ribonucleoprotein involved in the co-translational targeting of proteins to membranes. The record is from RNAcentral. Lineage: Bacteria; Pseudomonadati; Pseudomonadota; Alphaproteobacteria; Sphingomonadales.
CCGGGAGUCGGGUGGACGUUCGCGUUCGCCAACCUGGUCAGAUCCGGAAGGAAGCAGCCACAACGGAUAGCUGCGGGUCACCCGGCUCCUACUCU